GGUGAACUCAUUAAUUCGAAGUCUUUCUGAUUUAAAAAUUAAUAUUCGCGGGGAUUAUAGACGUCGACUACUAAGGCAACUAACGUCUAUAUACGAUUAUAGACGUCAGUGAGGAGGCAUCUGACGUCUACAUGACGAAAAGGAAUGACUUUUCACCUGCCUAGCAAACAUAUAGACGUCGGCUAUCGCUUACCUGACGUUUAUAGGUCUGACAGGCUGGUGAAUAGCCAUUAAUGUCCACCAUAUAAACGUUUGUUAGGAUAAUCCCGAUGUCUAUAUGACAGAAAGGAAUGACUUUUCAACUGCCCGUAGACAUAUACAUGUCGGGGCUGCCAUAAAUGACGUUUAUAUGUCUAACAGGUUGGUGAACAACCAUUAAUUUCUGCCAUAUAGACGUCGGUGCCCUGACCAACAGACGUCUAUAUGUCUGAAAGAAAUGACUUUGCAUCCACCUGUCAGACAUAUAGACGUCGAUUAGGACAGUCCUGACGUAUAAAAGACUAUAGACGUCGGGGCCCUUUCAAAC
This 526-nucleotide long non-coding RNA is filed under the name Vigna radiata. Its description in RNAcentral is "long non-coding RNA (VRAD_LNC010563)". Lineage: Eukaryota; Viridiplantae; Streptophyta; Magnoliopsida; Fabales; Fabaceae. The record is from RNAcentral.